Macaca mulatta (Rhesus monkey) is the source of this 1139-nucleotide non-coding RNA. The record is from RefSeq and is a predicted model, not a curated record. Lineage: Eukaryota; Metazoa; Chordata; Mammalia; Primates; Cercopithecidae.
CCCACUGAAAUGCUAAUGUUCAUUUGUGUAUUCUUUGCCUAGCACGUAGAGAGAGUUCAAACAGUGGUUUUAAAAUAAGCCACCAAAGUUAUCCAAUGCAGGGGAUCAAGCCAAUGAAAGGUAACAGAGGAAGGAUGCUACGGGCGCUCAGAAAAGGCAACGAAGGCCAGAGUCUGCAGGGAUUUCCUGGAGGACGUGGAGCUUGUCCCUAGGUCUUUAACAACUGGCAGAAUGUUAAUCCACUGGAGAAGCAUUUCAAGUAGGGGGAAAUGGGAUGAGCAGAGACAGAGGCAAAAGUACAGAGUUGAAAGAACUCUUUCAACGUGUCGCGAGUGAGCGACGACUUUCUGGGUGUGGGAGUAAAAGAAUUUACCAAGACAGUAGUAGAUAAAAAAAGACAGAUUAAAGAAAGUAUGAAAGAUCGUUGCCAGGGAACAGCGCGCAGAAUCAGCAGAGGAGGAGCUCAUUGCUAGGAAACAAAGGCUUGUUGAGAAUUUUAUAGACUGGAACUUGGAGUGAUUGAUAACACCAAGUUAGCAGGGAGUUAACUUGCUUUUUUUUCCUUUUUUUUUUUUUUUUUUUUUUUUGUCAACCGAAGUGUUUGAUAAAUAGAGGCGUUUGAAGAGAGAAAGCCUGUCUGCACAGUGAGAGAAUGAAACCAAUACAUUGAAAAAAACAGAGAAGAGAAAGAGGUAGAGACUUCAUCUGAUACAAGCACGCCUGAAACAAGAGAUACCUGUAUGAUUCCAUCUUCCCAACUAGCAGGCAGUUCUUGUUGAGUUCAAGCAAGUUGAGACCAUCAACCCUUCAACCUAGCCUGCGUGGGUGCGUAAAGCGUGACCUUUUGAUGUCAAAGGGCCAAAACCUGCACCCUCCUUCCAUGCUAAUUCAACCAUUUUCUGAACAUGCAUCCUACGAAGAGCCAUGUAGCUCAAUUACACUUGCGCAGAAACCUUGAUUACCUCCCUUUCCCACCUGCCAAUCACCUUUACCCAUACUUCACACCAUCCUGCUUUCUAUCCCCAUAAUUACCCCAAGCCCUGUUUUCAGGGAGGUGGAUUUACAAUUUGUUCUCCUUCUCCUUGCUCAGCAGCCUUGUGAGCAAUCUCACAAAAUAAAAUCUUUUCUCUUUUGCAAAA